UUAUUUUGUUCCAAACUCCUUGAGGAUUUAAAUGUCCCAUGUCUUGAGCUCUGAAAUUUUGUUCGUUCUAGAUUUAACUGUGGUGCAUAAGAGGCUGCAUCCUACUCUAAAUAUUAAUACUGUGCUGCUUUUGCCAAUCAACAUUCUCUCCAAAAGCACACAAGCUCACAUGUGCACAACCACAUGUGUGGAAGAAGUAAAUUGAUAUCCCACCAUAUUAUGUGACAUCUGAAUGGGCAGAUUUGGGACCUAUGAAUGUCUUCCCUUCAUCUGGAGAGAAGUGGGCGACUGCCUGAUUCUUAAGAGCCAUCUGCAUCUUAAGCAACAAAAGAGGUCCUACAGAACCACCCUCUGGUGACUUGGUGAGAGUGAGGUGGGGAGAAAUGGAAGCAGGGGCAUUGUUGCUCCAGUAUUUUCAGUGGUCUCUCCUGGGAGUUACAGGGCUCCUAGGGCCCAGAUUCUCCUGUUCCACUACUGUUAGAACUGACAGGAUAGUAACUAGGCCCUUUCUAGGGCCCCUUUCUACCCACAGAGCUAAGAACCAGUGGGUUUUCCUUUGGGGAGUUGAUAAGAGCUGGACUGGGACCAGCGGAGGGGGCUCAGGACUUUGGCCUUGAAUGAAAUCAUUGGAGGCCAACCAUGCCCCAGCUGCCUGUUUGUAACGGAAAAUCAUGAGUGGGAACUAUUGUCUUCUUUGGAGCCCCUCAGGACAACCUCAUCCUCCUGGCCCGGGGAUGACCCUGCCUUAAGGUGGCAAGUUACUGUUGGCUCCAAGUGACAACCAGGAAUGCCUGGCAAAAAGAUGAUGAAAGGGUGGGUGACAGGAACACAAUAGACAAAGGCUCAGAGAGGAGAAAAAGAGACACAAAGAGGCAGAGUGAGGAGAGAGGCUGAGCUCCUAAUGAGGUGAGCUGUGCUAACUGAACACAGCCUGGCAGUGCCCUCUGCCCCUAGCCAGGGGCACUGGGAAUGUUCUUCAGUAAGACUGCUGCCAGAGCCUGGGCAUAAGGAAGCAUCAGUCACCUACUUCAGAGGGAUCAAAGUGGUUCAGAGUCUACCUUUCAUGGCACCUUUAAUGCCCUCUAAGCAAAGUGGCCUAGGAUGCCCAGCAUGGGAGACACAUUGGGUGGUAAAGGCUGGGAUGGCUUCCCCUUCCCAAAAGAAAUUUUCCAACCCUAUGUGCAACUGCUGCCUGUACCUUUUUGGGAUCCAGGCUGGGAAUUGAUUUUUUUUUCUUAAAUAGUCUCUUUCCUGGCCUGGCCCAGGUAGAAAUAUAGACCUGUCAUGAAAACUGAGAGAUGGGGCUCACCAUAUCAAUAACUACUGCCCCUCCUCCCACCAUGGCAGCUCGUGUCAUCAGUCCUCCUCUACCUGCUGAGAUGAAAGGAGUUUCUUCACAUUUUGCCAUGUGUAUACAAGAAUGGGGUGCUGGGAGGGCCUUGAGGUUAAUGCCUUGGACUGUAAGAUUUGUAAAAAUCAGUGACUGGAACAUGGAACACUGUGGUGUUUAAGGUUUCUUCCCUAUGUGAUAUUCUACUCUUCCAGUCUAGGAUUAUAUAGCUUGAGCGAAAAAGUGAGAUGUGGCUCAGCCUGAGAUGAGUGGGACUGAUGCUAGUGUUAGGAGUGGACUGGGACAAGGUGAGGCUGAUUGGCCCAAGUUCCGGGUCCCUCCUUUCUUCAAGCACCCAUGUGUCUAUGACAGUCAUACGAAGAAAUAGAGGGGAAAGAGUAUGGAGAGAAGUCAGUAGAGGAAAAAAAGAAGGAAGGGAAGAGGGGAGCAGACUGUUAACCAACCAUACAAUAAGGGCACUGCUUGUACCCAGUUCUUGGGAAGCCACAGCCAUCAGCAACUCUAAGACUAACCAAGGCUACUUGUCUCAUUUUGCCUCCCUGCCCCUCCACCCAGUGGCUCCCAAAUAUGGAUGGCAAUGACCUCCUCAGCAAACAGAGAUUUGGGCCUACCCUAUUAGGCUCCUGGGGACACAGUAGCACCUUUGGCAGUUGAUUAUAGUGGGUGACUAACAAGCUGGGUCCAGGAGGUCCCAUCCUCCUCCUCCCCCAGAGCUUAGAAAGUAUAUGGAGAGGUUCCAAAGGCCAGGGGGUGAUCCCAAGCUUUCCCAGAUCCUAGGAGGAGAAAGGCCCUGGAAAAUUUAAAAGCAUUCUGGGGACAAUUUAGUUAAUGAGUUUGGAACACCUGGAGCUUUGACUCCAAGGAGAUUGUCAGGUGGCUGAAAUGCUGUGUGCGCAGGUCUGGGAACAAGUGUGCUGGUGGCAAAAAUGUAAAUGCUGAGCAGGGUGGGAUGAAGGGGAAGAGCUGGGAAAGGGCACACAAUGGCAAGAAAGGCAUUAGAUUGGUUCCUCAGGGUUGGGGGAGCCUGGCAGUAGCUCCCCAUUGGGGUCUGGGUCAGGGGCCAACAUCUUAUCCUUGCUGGAAUCUCUCUGCUCUUUCUUGAACAUCCUUUGAUGCAUCAGAGGGACGAAGAAGAGGAUUACAGCCCCGAUGAUGGGGGGCACACCGGCAAAGUAGAAGGCCACAUGGUAGUCCCCAAAACAGUUGCGGAGUAGGCCUGAA
This 2572-nucleotide long non-coding RNA is filed under the name Pan troglodytes (chimpanzee). RNAcentral describes it as "long non-coding RNA NONPTRT018491". The record is from RNAcentral. Lineage: Eukaryota; Metazoa; Chordata; Mammalia; Primates; Hominidae.